CCUACGGGUGGCUGCAGUGGGGAAUUUUGGACAAUGGGGGCAACCCUGAUCCAGCCAUGCCGCGUGCGGGAAGAAGGCCUUCGGGUUGUAAACCGCUUUUAGCCGGGAAGAAAAGGCAGGGGCUAACACUCUCUGUUCUUGACGGUACCGGCGGAAUAAGCACCGGCUAACUACGUGCCAGCAGCCGCGGUAAUACGUAGGGUGCGAGCGUUAAUCGGAAUUUGCGGGGGUAAAUCGUGCGCAGUGGGGUGAAAGCCCCGGGCUCAACCUGGGAAUGGCAUUGGAUACUGGCGGGCUUGAGUGUGGCAGAGGGGGGUGGAAUUCCGCGUGUAGCAGUGAAAUGCGUAGAGAUGCGGAGGAACACCGAUGGCGAAGGCAGCCCCCUGGGCUGACACUGACGCUCAGGCACGAAAGCGUGGGGAGCAAACAGGAUUAGAUACCCCAGUAGUC
Molecule: ribosomal RNA, 450 nt
Filed under: uncultured bacterium
Lineage: Bacteria
Description: partial 16S ribosomal RNA
Rfam family: Bacterial small subunit ribosomal RNA
Source: RNAcentral